This is a long non-coding RNA of Rosa chinensis, 2488 nucleotides long. RefSeq lists it as uncharacterized. The transcript is spliced from 4 exons. Lineage: Eukaryota; Viridiplantae; Streptophyta; Magnoliopsida; Rosales; Rosaceae. The record is from RefSeq and is a predicted model, not a curated record.
CUAUCCUCUCUCUCUCUCUCGACAAACCGUAGCCACCCUUCUAUCUCUCUCUCUCUCUCUUGACAAACAGCCAUGUUCAUUAUGUUCUUUUCUUCCUCUGUUGCGCAAAACCAAUUGCCACCACUCUCCAGUCUCUCAUAUUUCUCUUCAUUGUUCAAUCACCUCAUGAAUAACUUCACAAAAACAAGGUUUCAAUUCUCAGAUUUCAAGAUCUUGAUUUAAGUGGAAGUUGGGGGUGGCUUGGGGGGAAGCUACGGUGGCUCGAGGGGAGCAAAGGGAGUCUGAGGCUGAGAUAAAGUGGUGGAGCAGAGGCGCGUGGAGCUGCGGUGGAAGGGUGGUGCAGAGAUGCGGUGGCUUGGUGAGGAGAACGAAUAAGAGUUGUGGGGAUCGAAUUGGCUUUUACUUGGCAUGGAUCUGAUCUGAAUAUAUAGCUAGCCGAACCUAGCUAGCCCUUCACAUGUUUCUACUUGUCUGAUCGAUUUGGGGUUUCGGUGUGGUGAAAAAAGAAAGAAAAACAAAUUGAAACCCGCCCAGCCGCCCAGACGAACGCCCAGACCGCCCAGACCGCCCAACCGCCCAGACGGACGUCCAGGCCACCUAAAUCCAUUCUGCCUAAGAGCUCCGUUUAGCUAAUACUCGCCUCGGUCUCCCGCCGCCCAGCGCCUAGGCGGCCGUUUUUUUAGAACACUGGACAUAUUGAAUCGAUGCUCAAAAUCAUAUCUAGGGAAAGAUCUGCGGUCGAUAGUGUUUUGAGGCAAAGGUAUGGCCGAAGUUGCUGGACCUAAUUCUUUACGCCUGCUGCUGUGAAGGUUGGUGGCAGAACGAUGAAGGUUGGCCUAGUGAAAAGAAAGACGCCUUCAGAACUGCGAGUAAGUUUUCCAAUUCAUGGAUGUUUUGUAUAGAAAUGGGCACUGGGUCAUGGAUAACUGGAGGAGGAGGAGUUAGACUGAUUUUUUAAGGUACUCUCGUUGUUGCUUUGAAGCUUUGAAUUUGAUAAUGUAAUUGAAAUUGUUUUGAAUUUUUCUGGUUGUUUUCUUGUUAAAUUGAUUGGAUGGUUAUGUUGCUUCAUUGUUUCAAUUCUGUUGCCAAUUUUGUUGUGAAGCAAUGCUAGAGGUUUUGAUUUGGUUACGCUUAGAAUGGUGUGGUUACAUUCAAGUUUAGUUCUUUCCGAGCAAUGAUAAUCUGUAAACUAUGAACAUGGAUAAGUAAUCACGUACAGAACACUCUUAUAAAAUACACUGAUAAAGAAACAGAAAGGACCAAUGAUUCCACCAAUGUCUGAAAGUGAUAUCUGUUUUCUUUUCUCAAUUCAAUGCUAAUUAAUUGUGUAGGUAUGAUCAUUAGCGCUUGGAUAAUCCAGACAGGCUUCCUACUGGACUGAAUACUAGAUCAGUUUAACUUAAGAGGAUAAUUGAUUGAAUGGUGAAACCAAUUGAGAUAACUUUUUGCUACUUAUAUUUACUUCCGGUCAGAAAAUUACACGAUUAUACUGAAGCUUAAUGAUAAGGGAUCACUAGAAUUUUGGAGGUUUACUACUUCUUUGCCAUUAUUGUGGGACUGUUCUAUACUGUUAUAUUAGUUGAAAUACAUAUCAUGAAUAAAUCUGCGUACCUAAAGUUAGUAUAUGGUGCUACCAUCUGCCUAUUGCAAAGAAAACUUAAUACAUAGCUUAGUGAUCAUACUUAAGAUUUAAGUUGAAGUGUAUAUUUGAGAAGUCUUGGGAAAUAUGAUGGGCCAUUAUACGUAAUAAGUUUCUCAUUUGUAAUGUCUGCAUGACAGUAAGAGCAGUUGACGUGGAUGAAUGUUGUGGAGAUUACGGAUGAAUCUCCAGCCCAUUUGCUUGGUUCUACAAAGUAAAAUUGGUCAAAGUGUACAAACAUGAGUUUUUAAGUAUUUGACUUCUUUGUAGUUUUGGUUUCUAAAAUUACUAACUUUUUUUUUUGGCUCAAUCCACAAAGGGGUAUGGCUAUCAGUAACUCUUGUAUACUUUAUAAAAGGCUAGAGAUUGCAGCCAAAAGCAUGGAAAAAGGUGUAGCUAAAGCUAGUCAAGCAAAUGAAAACUAUAGUGAAAAUACUUUCAGUAGUGUUACUGGGAUUUCAUCGACUGGUGAUAGGUCAUUUGGCUUUGGAUUUGUUGUUGUGGUUGAACUAUAUGGAGAGGUCUUGGGAAACAGGAUGAGGCUAGGAUGCAGCUCUGGCAGUAACUGUUGCUGCGGAAGUUGUCAAAACAAUGGUUGCCAAGGGAUAGUUCUGGGACAAGAUGCAUUAAUCAAGGGGAUUUGUUAAAACAAUGAGUCCUAUCAAGUAUCGGUUGCUACAACGUCUAAGGUUUAUCAAUUAGCAAUUGAAUAUGGCUCAUCAAGGCAAAGAAGCUUUUCAAUCACCUCAAUAGCUCAGAGUAUGUAGGUCAUGAUACUUAGCCAACUGGGCGUCAGCAACUCAGCAAUAUGUAUUUCAAUUUUUGAAUGUUUUUGUAUUUUUCAAGAUU